Long non-coding RNA from Falco peregrinus (peregrine falcon), 4369 nucleotides. RefSeq lists it as uncharacterized. The transcript has 5 exons. NCBI's taxonomy places the organism in Eukaryota, Metazoa, Chordata, Aves, Falconiformes, Falconidae. The record is from RefSeq and is a predicted model, not a curated record.
UGUUGCUGCACAGGCAGAAGCUGGCCCUGGGCUGGGCCACCUACCAGCAAUCCAUCCAGGAGAUGUGCUGGGCAAGGCAGCGUGAUGCUCAGCAGAACAGGAGCAUGAUCCUGGGCUUAUCUGUUUUGGCAGAAGACAGAGACCGGGGACGGUGAAGAGAAGGUGAAUGACACAGGAAGGAUCCACAAAGGCCCUGUAACCAUCUGCCCAUCAGUGGGGAGAAGCAGGACAGAGAAAAACAAUUAUCUUCCAGAAAAGGAACUGCUGGGUAUCUGAGCACAAAGACAGCCACAGCAUCUUCUUGCAGAGGCUGAACUGGUCAUCUCAAAUCUCUGCUGCAGGGCUGUCCUCUGAGAAAGUGAUUGUGAUGGACACAGCCCAGUGAGUGGUGCUACAGGUGGCCAUGGACCUUAGGAAAGUCACGUGCAUGGCUGCAUUUCCCUGCAAGAAGAGAAGUGCUGGGGGAUUUAGCAAAACGACAUCUGGCAAGGCCAAGCUCCAAACAGGUACAAGGGUCCAGUUAUUCUGCAAAGCUGCCCCCUCUCCCAGUUCUGGCAUGGGACACUGCUGAUCACAGCCUGUGCAGUGUUUGGUUGGUAUAGGCUAUUUCCACUGUAGCCAAGUGUAGUGGACUAGUGGCUGCAGAAUUUGGAGGGUAGAAAUAAGGAAAAUGCCUUUAACAAAAAUAGGGAAAAAAUACUUGCUUGUAUGAGAGGCUCCGGAGGAGACAAAGUUUGGUUUCUUUGGGGAACGAGACCAUGAGAAUAGAGAAGUUCUUAAUGGGACGUGUACUUUCGCACCAUCUAAAAUUAACCCCAUAGCCUCAUCAAUAUCUUCUCUUUUGAAAAGACAUCAUUAUCCUGCCUCCCCAUGCUGGAGACAGGCUCCUCAAGCUGAUUUUGACAUUGCUGUGCUACAACCGUUUGUUACACUGACAAGGGCUGUGUCUAGAUGAAUGCUUGGGGCACAUAUACAAGGUAAUUUCAAGGCAUCUUCACUAGGAAAGACACAUUGCUAAAUGCUAAUCAAAAUGGGCAGCCAUGGUGGAAACAAAUGCCUGAUUCAGAAUAUCUGGUUGUGAUACACCCCGUCAGGCACACUAAUGAGGAUAUUCAAUCAGGCAGACAGAUGCUGGGUUUGCUAACCUGGUCCUUAACCAUGUGCCAGGGAGAAGGAAGGAAGCUGCUGAUUUUGAAGACAAAUGUCCUUCCUGGGUAUUCUGGCAGUAUGCUUGUUCAGGCACUUUCCAGCUUUGGAGACCAGACUUGGAGAUAGGGCUCUUAAAACCUGCACUCACAUGUUGCAGCCCACAUGCCCAGGAUCCAGCCUGUUGCAUCCCCAUCUCCUGCCAUUUCUCUUCCCAAAAUUUUCUCUAGCCCUCAUUGCCCCUUCCCAAUAUUGGCCUGUUAUCUGACAUGCAGUGCUUGCUGUUAAUGCUUUUUUUCGCCCCCCAACUCCCUGCUGUGAAAAUUAAUGGGGGACAUCUGAGCUGCCUGCUAAUACUUCCAGAUGACAGAAGGGAGCAGCCGCAGAGUCAGCCUCCCUAUUUCCCUGGUGCCUCCAGUGAUGCUGCUGUUUUUCGGUGGAUGGAGCUUCUUCAUGUGAGUGACAUAGGCUUAACAUGGAAGACUGCUGGGGUGAAAAAGAGCAUGGAAGAACAGACUGAAUGCUGAACUUACUUGGUGCAUACUUUAUGGGAGAAUUCAUUCUAAAAUGAUCAGAAGUCAAUCCAAUGAUGACUAUUUAUCUACUUUGAGGCUUUCUAGAUCUCUCUGCAAAUUAUCUCAUUGGACAUUAGAGGUGUAAAACCUCCUUGCUGAAUAGUUUAAUGAAUUACACAGUGCUGAAAGACAGGCUAAAACAUGUCUGUGGCCAUGCUGGUCCCCACUACAGAACACCCACUUCACCGAAGAGUGAUCGAACCCUCAAAUGUGUUGGAUGCUGUCUGAAGCUUGCAUGGGAACAGGCAGAAUUCCCACUGCAAUAACUUCCAUGGAAGAGCACGGUUAAGAAGAACUAGUGGUUUAUGACAGAACGGGCAUAAAUUUUCAGAGGUAUUUGUACAAAUGUAAUUAGAAGCUGAAUUUAGCCCAACAGGGUCAAAACAUUGGUGCUUGGGAUCUCAUUAGCAUAGUGUGAAAUUUGUAAAAGAAAAGCACCUGCAGGAACACCGCUUGGACACCUGCACUGCUCUGCAAACAGCAUUGCUUGCUGAACACCAGCAUUUCUUGGAAGCCUGCAAGGACAUUCAAGGGCUGAUCCUUAGCCCCAUCACAGAGCAAUUGACUUUUCCUUCUGUUUUGAAAAAAAUUCUUCCCAUGGCUACCACCCAGCCCGCAAUGAUGCAAUAAAUAAUUCAGCAUGUGCUUAACAUUAAUCCUUAUAAAUAGUCCCACUACCCUGUUAGGUGCUUAUGUUAGAGCAGAACAGCUCUGAACACAUCUGUAGUCACACCACUUCGGUGGGCUGAAAAGCAGAGUUCCCAUGGAUCACCGUGGAGCAGUGAUUCCCUGAAGAGGACUCCAUCAGUGCAGCAUCUCUGAUCUCUUCAUCACAAGACAACUAACCAUGUGCUUAAAGCGAUUGUGUGUUUACGAGUUUUGUUGGAACAGGUUUUUCAUGUAAUGUUUUAUAAUAUAGCGGUGAUGGAGAGGGUGAGAAAUGCCCUUCUUCAGAGGGGGCUGAAGGAGCAAGACUUAAAGAUCAAAACCACCAUCUGCUGCAGCCAGAUCUCCUCUGGUAAGUCCUGCCCAUGGCUCAGCCACCAACCUGAGCAGAAAUCAUAAGCAGAAGGAAAGAAUCUGUCAAUUAACAUAUUUCACCAAACUAUGAUUUUUGUCAAGGGAUGAUGAUUAAACAAAGUUUUGGGAGUAGUAUAGUUUUAAUGAAACUUUCAUGGGCUAAGGGCAGAUUUGAAAAGAGAUAGAGAGAAAGAGAGAGAAGCGAGAAAGGCUUAUUGUGAAGUAACCGAUAGCUUGGCAGUUGAGAACAAAAGCAACUGCCGACCACUCCUCCCGGUUUUCCUAAAAUCAAGUAUUUUGCUUUCCAACCAGGCUUGCCUGGCCUCAUGCCUGUUUCCGUGUUGUUUCUGUGUGGCAGCUCAGGUUCUGUUAGUGUUUGGGACCACGUCUGCUGGGCUGAAGUGUGGGACGCUACCUUCAUAGAAACUCAUAAGCACUGAAGUGGUCUUCACUGCCUUUAUUUGAUCGUGCUUAAAUGAAGAGAGGUUCUUUGGCUUGGUUAAAAACUACAUGAAUCAUCCAGUAGGAAAUGAAAGAGAAUGUAUUACUGAGAUGUAAUGAUUCCAUUUAUGGUAUACAGAUCUCCCCGAUGCUGCCACAAGAUAAAAAUGAAUUUGCAGUUGUAAACGACUACAUGAUGAUGACAAGUCCUCUACAUGCUUGGCCUGCGCUCAGCUCAGGGGCAGGUACCAUAUGCUUGCCUCAGUUCUCCCUCUUUUGGAAGAAAACAGGCAUGCCUGCUCUUGGGCUUGGCACUCCUGCACACUGCAUGGUCAGCUGGCACAUUUCUUGCUGGAUUUGCCUCCAGCAGAUAUAAGCCACAUUGGUAAAGCUGUUGGAAUUUUCCACUGUUUUUUUUUUUUAAAUGGAAAGAACAUAUUGUGUAAUACUAAUGCUUUGAUUUUGCCCAUAUUUUUCAGUUCUCCUUUAGUGAGAUCAAAAUGAAAUGUUUCAACCAAAGGUUGAGCUGACCCCAAUGUUUUACUUUCCUCUUUAGCUUCUCAGUCACUGGACCUUGGGAAAGUUGUCCUGUGCGUGGCCUGAGCCUUCCCUUUACCUUGCAGGUCAUACUGGUGCAGAGGACACAUCUCAGGUACUUGGGGACCACAUGGUUUUUGUAAUACCUAAGCACUGUCACACUCCCAGUGAAUGGUGGUUCCAUCCAGCCAGGUCUGUCCUCCUAAGGAGGAGACAAUCUUACGUGGAACUAAGCCUAUAUGAAACAUCUCCUUUUUUUUCUUUUAACAUUGUCAAAUGGAAAUGUGCUAUAAGAUUUGCAAAUUUAAUUCUCAUCCUUCCGUGGCCAGCUGGAGACAUACAGCUGUAUAUAUCAGCAGUAAAAUGAGAUGCCAAAGCAACAGAUUUUAUUUCUCCAUAGGCUGCAUAUCUGGAGAAGAUAUUCCCACAAAUGAUACAUGGCUCCUGGCUGGUUUGCUGAUAAUGAGACAGUUAAUUAAAUAGGUCAGCAGGGCAAACAGUCACAUCAGAAAGCUCCUGCUCUAAUCAACCUGUGAGACUCUUCCAGCCUGGCUAUGCCAGCUGCUGGCGCUUUCAAUCUCAGUUCACAGUACAAAAUGUCACUGUAUUUACCCCUGGAAUGUGCAUAUAAAAGACAUAAAUAAAUAUGA